Molecule: ribosomal RNA, 433 nt
Filed under: uncultured bacterium
Lineage: Bacteria
Description: partial 16S ribosomal RNA
Rfam family: Bacterial small subunit ribosomal RNA
Source: RNAcentral
AACGAACGCUGGCGGCAUGCCUAACACAUGCAAGUCGAACGAGACCUUCGGGUCUAGUGGCGCACGGGUGCGUAACGCGUGGGAACCUGCCCUUAGGUUCGGAAUAACUCCCCGAAAGGGGUGCUAAUACCGGAUAAUGUCUUCGGACCAAAGAUUUAUCGCCUUUGGAUGGGCCCGCGUUGGAUUAGCUAGUUGGUAGGGUAAAAGCCUACCAAGGCGACGAUCCAUAGCUGGUCUGAGAGGAUGAUCAGCCACACUGGGACUGAGACACGGCCCAGACUCCUACGGGAGGCAGCAGUAGGGAAUAUUGGACAAUGGGCGAAAGCCUGAUCCAGCAAUGCCGCGUGAGUGAUGAAGGGCUUAGGGUUGUAAAGCUCUUUUACCCGGGAUGAUAAUGACAGUACCGGGUGAAUAAGCUCCGGCUAACUCCGUG